This 180-nucleotide long non-coding RNA is filed under the name Coturnix japonica (Japanese quail). RNAcentral describes it as "lncRNA (ENSCJPG00005006798.1)". Lineage: Eukaryota; Metazoa; Chordata; Aves; Galliformes; Phasianidae. The record is from RNAcentral.
AUGGCCCCUGGAACACAUGAGUUCCUUUUCUGUGCCACUGAAGCCAAGAAACUCUCCCACAAUCCUCUGAAAAAGAUAAUAUAUAUCCUCAGUACACUGCUGAAGAAAAAGCCAGAAUCCACCCUGCAAAGCCCACAGCUUCCCCACAGGGUUGCUCCAAGCUCAGAGGAAGGCAGGUAA